GAUGAACGCUGGCGGCGUGCCUAAUACAUGCAAGUCGAGCGAAUGGAUUAAGAGCUUGCUCUUAUGAAGUUAGCGGCGGACGGGUGAGUAACACGUGGGUAACCUGCCCAUAAGACUGGGAUAACUCCGGGAAACCGGGGCUAAUACCGGAUAACAUUUUGAACCGCAUGGUUCGAAAUUGAAAGGCGGCUUCGGCUGUCACUUAUGGACGGACCCGCGUCGCAUUAGCUAGUUGGUGAGGUAACGGCUCACCAAGGCAACGAUGCGUAGCCGACCUGAGAGGGUGAUCGGCCACACUGGGACUGAGACACGGCCCAGACGCCUACGGGGGGCAGCAGUAGGGAAUCUUCCGCAAUGGACGAAAGUCUGACGGAGCAACGCCGCGUGAGUGAUGAAGGCUUUCGGGUCGUAAAACUCUGUUGUUAGGGAAGAACAAGUGCUAGUUGGAUAAGCUGGCACCUUGACGGUACCUAACCAGAAAGCCACGGCUAACUACGUGCCAGCCGCCGCGGUAA
This 515-nucleotide ribosomal RNA is filed under the name uncultured bacterium. RNAcentral describes it as "partial 16S ribosomal RNA". It matches the Rfam family "Bacterial small subunit ribosomal RNA", at positions 28 to 523 of the family's 1533-position model. The record is from RNAcentral.